UGCUCUGCUUUGGGAUACCGAGCCAUCGCCGAGGUCUGUCCCAUGCAGCUGGUGGGCCCUGUGAAUGCACAGCCCCGCGUCACCUCUUCCGUCCUGCCCCUGGAGAGUUUCUCAGGGUAUAAGGGCUUGAGGAAACUCGGGAUAGCACAGGCUGCAUGUCUGUGAGUCACUCGGUGUGCGAAAUGUUUGCGCAGUCAUCCCAGGACUUUCCACCCAAUCUUUGAGCUGGGUUAUGGAACAGAAGCAGAUGAGCCAAUUAAAAGAAAAACAAUACAUCAGUCCCUGAUCUGAAGAAGGACCGGCACAUCUCAGAUGUGCUGGAACAGCUGUCACUGGGCAGACAACGCCAUUGCAAAACGUCCUGUUCGGCUGCAUGUAUUUACGCAUAAAUAGAUGUUCCUUCCCCUCCAGUUACCUCUGUGCUACUGUUAUUCCCAAACGCCUUGGAGCACAGGCCUUUCAUCUUGUGAACCUUUGGGAACAAAGAAAGGAUCUGAAGGACAUCUGAUUCCAUGCCAUCCAAAUCUGGUAGCUGCUCACUGUUGGUGCAGAUAUGAAGAUGUGGUGCUUGUACGCCUCGGGACAUCACACCUAUGCUACGUACUUCAGCUGCCCGGAAGCACUAAUUGUGCAGCUGGCUGAGAGCGUGCAAGAAUGGCAGCGCUAGCGGUGGAAGGGAGACCCAGAUCUCCCAAGUACCAGACCAGCAGCUCCUUCAAGGUGCACCCUUCUGCACAGUAUUUGCUCUGGUGGCUGUGUGGUGCUCAGCUCUUCUGUCCCUGAAGUAGAGCCUGGGCUGGGGCCAAUGCUGGCUGCAGCUGAUGGAGAAAGCCCCAGUGUUCUGGAGGUGAGCAGACUUCUUUUCAAUGUUUCCUUCUGGGUAGCUCUGGAAAUUUGGGACUUUUGGUCUGCGAGAUUGAAUUUCAGCUUUAAAAGAUUGUUUGAAAUUACCUGUUUGUUCAUACAAAUUAACUGUGAAACUGCUUUUGCAAUUAAGCACCAGAUAUUUCUGUUAAGAAUCACCUGCUACUACAAGUAACGUCCAGAAAAUGAGUGAAAUUCUGGCAUUUUCUAUAACUCUUUGUGCAAAGUCAGUGACAGAAUUAGGCUGUCAGUUGAGACGUGUCAACCUAGGAAAAGAACCUUAGUUCAACUUGAUAAUUUUAUUUCUGUUGGGGUUUCUUUUUUGUCUGAAUUGAGCUUUGCUGGAAUUCGCACUGUUGCUGUCCCUGGUACAGAAGAACUGGUAGCAAGUGACCUCUGGAUGCAGACAGGUCUCCUUGUUGGGUGUGACGGCAGGGAAGGUUUCAACCAGCUUGUGCAGCCAAGGGUGCUCUUUUCCCAGGGAUGCUGCUAAUCACCCUGGCACUGCUUCUCUUGCUUUCUCCAUUUCGUGUGGUAUUGGUUUAAAAAAAUGAAACAAAUUUUUUUUCCACUGCUGGCUCAAAGUACUUUUGCUCAUGGCAAUUUUCAUAUUGUUGGGAGUAAAUAUCUGUAUGUUUGAGUCAAGAUUGGAGCCUCUAGUAAGGAAAAAAAGAGAGAAACCAGACCGCAAUCAACACUGAUCUUUGUGUUAUUGGUGGUAACGGUCUUUAUAUGACAUGGUAUUGGGUAAUUCUAAGCAGCUUUUGUUCUAUAGGGG
Molecule: long non-coding RNA, 1642 nt
Organism: Anser brachyrhynchus (Pink-footed goose)
Lineage: Eukaryota; Metazoa; Chordata; Aves; Anseriformes; Anatidae
Source: Ensembl